Molecule: ribosomal RNA, 590 nt
Filed under: Penicillium purpurescens
Lineage: Eukaryota; Fungi; Ascomycota; Eurotiomycetes; Eurotiales; Aspergillaceae
Description: eukaryotic LSU rRNA
Rfam family: 5.8S ribosomal RNA (bases 214-367)
Source: RNAcentral
UCACCCGGCUCGGCCGGGUGGAGGCCAGUAAGGAGCAUUACUGAGUGAGGGCCCUCUGGGUCCAACCUCCCACCCGUGUUUAUUGUACCUUGUUGCUUCGGUGCGCCCGCCUCACGGCCGCCGGGGGGCUUCUGCCCCCGGGUCCGCGCGCACCGGAGACACCAUUGAACUCUGUCUGAAGAUUGCAGUCUGAGCAUAAACUAAAUAAGUUAAAACUUUCAACAACGGAUCUCUUGGUUCCGGCAUCGAUGAAGAACGCAGCGAAAUGCGAUAACUAAUGUGAAUUGCAGAAUUCAGUGAAUCAUCGAGUCUUUGAACGCACAUUGCGCCCCCUGGUAUUCCGGGGGGCAUGCCUGUCCGAGCGUCAUUGCUGCCCUCAAGCAUGGCUUGUGUGUUGGGCUCCGUCCCCCCGGGGACGGGUCCGAAAGGCAGCGGCGGCACCGAGUCCGGUCCUCGAGCGUAUGGGGCUUUGUCACCCGCUCUGUAGGCCCGGCCGGCGCCAGCCGACAACCAAUCAUCCUUUUUUCAGGUUGACCUCGGAUCAGGUAGGGAUACCCGCUGAACUUAAGCAUAUCAAUAAGGCGGAGGAA